This 429-nucleotide ribosomal RNA is filed under the name Acidobacteriota bacterium. RNAcentral describes it as "Acidobacteria bacterium partial 16S ribosomal RNA". It matches the Rfam family "Bacterial small subunit ribosomal RNA", at positions 355 to 776 of the family's 1533-position model. Lineage: Bacteria; Pseudomonadati; Acidobacteriota. The record is from RNAcentral.
UGGGGAAUUUUGGACAAUGGGGCAAACCCUGAUCCAGCCAUCCCGCGUGUGCGAUGAAGGCCUUCGGGUUGUAAAGCACUUUUUGCAGGAAAGAAACGUCAUGGGUUAAUACCCCGUGAAACUGACGGUACCUUCAGAAUAAGCACCGGCUAACUACGUGCCAGCAGCCGCCGUAAUACGUAGGGUGCAAGCGUUAAUCGGAAUUACUGGGCGUAAAGCGUGCGCAGGCGGUUCGGAAAGAAAGAUGUGAAAUCCCAGAGCUCAACUUUGGAACUGCAUUUUUAACUACCGGGCUAGAGUGUGUCAGAGGGAGGUGGAAUUCCGCGUGUAGCAGUGAAAUGCGUAGAUAUGCGGAGGAACACAGAUGGCGAAGGCAGCCUCCUGGGAUAACACUGACGCUCAUGCACGAAAGCGUGGGGAGCAAACAGG